Molecule: ribosomal RNA, 253 nt
Filed under: uncultured bacterium
Lineage: Bacteria
Description: partial 16S ribosomal RNA
Rfam family: Bacterial small subunit ribosomal RNA
Source: RNAcentral
GACGAACCGUGCUAACGUUAUUCGGAAUCACUGGGCUUAAAGGGCGCGUAGGCGGGCAAGCAAGUCGAAGGUGAAAUCCCACGGCUCAACCGUGGAAGUGCCCCCGAUACUGCUUGUCUGGAGGGAGAUAGGGGCGUGCGGAACUUCCGGUGGAGCGGUGAAAUGCGUAGAUAUCAAGAGGAACACCAGUGGCGAAGGCGAGUCCCUGGACAACACCUGACACUGAGGCACGAAAGCUAGGGGAGCAAACAGG